Molecule: unclassified non-coding RNA, 623 nt
Filed under: Hevea brasiliensis (rubber tree)
Lineage: Eukaryota; Viridiplantae; Streptophyta; Magnoliopsida; Malpighiales; Euphorbiaceae
Source: RNAcentral
GUCCGCCGCUGCGAGCGCAACUUCUACUUGGGUCUUUUCAAAACCCAUUGAUACUAAUUUUUGAAUCUCUGCAUCAGGGGCAACUGAUCUCUGGUUUUGCAUUGGGUUUGCUCGGUCUACUACUGCACUAUUGUUGUGCCUUCCAUCAGAUGACUGACGGUCUGCAGAACUCCUAUCCAAUAACCUAGUCUGCAGGUUAAACUCUGAAUCAUCAGCAGAAACUGUUUGGCUUUGGGCGGAACCAAGUGUUCUUCCACGUCCAGGAAAUCUGUUGUCUUGUUGUGGCUGUACCACCUCAGUAACCGUUUCUCUGUGCGGCAUCCAUGAAGAUAUGUUUCUCCAAACAUUAGGAAAGGAGAGGCCAUUGGACAUGGUAUUUUGGCCAGAAUAUGUUGGAAGUUGGGCAGAGGGAUUUCCACCAGUGCACAAAAUAAAUUUAGGUCGCCUCACACAAGAAGAAAGCAAAGAGGAAGACUCCAUAGCAGAAUAAAAGGACGUUCCAGGUAAAAGAAAAUUUAAUAGCCCAUAAAUAUAUGCAAAUCCAGUCAGUAUGCCACAUAGGUGCCCUAGAAAUGAGACGUUUGUCAUUAGAAGCUGGAACACCACCAACAAAAUCCACACAU